Molecule: long non-coding RNA, 132 nt
Filed under: Sus scrofa (pig)
Lineage: Eukaryota; Metazoa; Chordata; Mammalia; Artiodactyla; Suidae
Description: lncRNA (ENSSSCG00065078118.1)
Source: RNAcentral
CCUAUGGACAUGCGUGUCACGCUGCUUCCCUACUGGACAGGCGUGUCGCUCUCUGCUUCCCUAUGGACAUGCGUGUCACUCUGCUUCCCUACUGGACAUGCGUAUCACUCUCUGCUUCCCUGUGGACAUGUG